AGGGCACCACCAGGAGUGGAGCCUGCGGCUUAAUUUGACUCAACACGGGAAACCUCACCAGGCCCGGACACCGGAAGGAUUGACAGAUUGAGAGCUCUUUCUUGAUUCGGUGGGUGGUGGUGCAUGGCCGUUCUUAGUUGGUGGAGCGAUUUGUCUGGUUAAUUCCGAUAACGAACGAGACUCUGGCCUGCUAACUAGGCGUAUUUUGACAUCCUAAAGGCCCGCCGGCUCGGGGUUCGCUCCUUGUCGCGCGCGGUUUUUACUGUCGGCGUACAAACAAUUCUUCUUAGAGGGACAGGCGGCUUCUAGCCGCACGAGAUUGAGCAAUAACGGGUCUGUGAUGCCCUUAGAUGUUCUGGGCCGCACGCGCGCUACACUGAAGGAAUCAGCGUGUCCUCCCUGGCCGAGUGGCCCGGGUAACCCGCUGAACCUCCUUCGUGCUAGGGAUUGGGGCUUGCAAUUGUUCCCCAUGAACGAGGAAUUCCCAGUAAGCGCGAGUCAUAAGCUCGCGUUGAUUAC
Molecule: ribosomal RNA, 519 nt
Filed under: uncultured eukaryote
Lineage: Eukaryota
Description: SSU rRNA
Rfam family: Eukaryotic small subunit ribosomal RNA
Source: RNAcentral